Molecule: RNA transcript, 5710 nt
Organism: Rhea pennata
Lineage: Eukaryota; Metazoa; Chordata; Aves; Rheiformes; Rheidae
Gene: IFT172
Gene name: intraflagellar transport 172
Exons: 46
Source: RefSeq, a predicted model, not a curated record
GACAAAGUCAUUGACUUCAACACAAAACUCACCGUCACUAAAGGGGCUCUGCAAAGAGGGUGACUGAGCGCAUGUUAGCAACGUGCACAGCAGGGUGGGCCUCUCCAGUUUCAGCCUGGGAGCCACAAUCCCUCUCCCUUACUCUUGGGGAUUCAGCCCAGAGAGAGAGAAGAGGACAAGACAAGAGCAGUUACCUGGCCUGUCAGAAACACCAGGACGGGGCCGCGCGUGUGACCUGCAUGGCCUGGUCGGCCAGCAGCGCCCGCUUUGCCGUGUGCACCGUGGACCGAGUGGUGCUGCUGUACGAUGAGCAGGGCGAGCGGCGCGACAAGUUCUCCACCAAGCCCGCUGACGCCAAGUAUGGCAGGAAGAGUUACAUGGUCAAGGGCAUGGCGUUCUCCCCGGACUCCACCAAGAUCGCUGUUGGCCAAACAGACAACAUCAUCUACGUGUACCGGAUCGGAGAGGAGUGGGGUGACAAGAAGGUGAUAUGCAACAAGUUCAUUCAAACGAGUGCCGUGACCUGCUUAUUGUGGCCAGCGGAGAAUAUCAUCGUCUUUGGUCUCGCUGAAGGAAAGGUUCGUUUAGCAAAUACAAAGAAUAACAAGUCCUCCACCAUUUAUGGAACGGAUUCCUAUGUGGUCUCACUAACUUCCAAUAUAUCAGGGAAGGGAAUCCUAUCUGGCCAUGCAGAUGGAACCAUAGUACGCUUCUUCUUUGAUGACGAGGGUUCAGGUGAAUCACAGGGUAAGUUGGUGAUGCAUCCCUGUCCUCCUUAUGCCCUUGCCUGGGCUUCCAACAGCAUUGUGGCUGCAGGCUGUGACAAGAAGAUAGUAGCUUAUGGGAAGGAAGGUAAUGUGAUUCAAACCUUUGACUAUAGCCGGGACUCCUCAGAGAAGGAAUUCACCACAGCAGCCACAAGUCCUGGUGGCCAGGCUGUCAUCAUUGGCAGCUAUGAUAGAUUAAGGGUAUUGAAUUGGAGCCCACGCCGCAGUGCUUGGGAGGAAGCCAAAUCCAAAGAAAUAGCUCACCUCUACACCAUAACAGCUUUAGCCUGGAAGAGGGAUGGUUCACGGAUCUGUGUGGGCACUCUGUGUGGAGGAGUUGAACAAUUUGACUGCUGCCUUCGCAGAAGCAUUUACAAAAAUAAAUUUGAAAUGACAUAUGUGGGACCAAGCCAGGUCAUUGUGAAGAACCUCUCAACAGGAACUCGAGUUGUGUUGAAAUCUCACUAUGGUUAUGAGAUUGAUGAAGUGAAGAUCUUGGGGAAAGAGAGAUAUCUGGUGGCCCAUACUUCAGACACAUUGCUGCUGGGUGACAUCAGCUCCAACAAGCUCAGUGAGGUAGCCUGGCAAGGAUCUGGAGGGAAUGAGAAGUUCUUCUUCGACAAUGAAAAUGUCUGCAUGAUCUUUAAUGCUGGGGAGCUGACAUUAGUGGAAUAUGGAAGCAAUGACAUCCUGGGGUCUGUCCGCACAGAGUUCAUGAACCCUCAUCUUGUCAGUGUUCGUAUCAAUGAAAGACGGCAGAGAGGCGUGGAGGCGAACAAGAGACUGGCUUAUUUGAUAGACAUCAAGACAAUAGCAACAGUGGACCUUGUUGGUGGCUACAAUGCUGGCACCAUCAGCCAUGACAGCAAGAUUGAAUGGCUGGAGUUGAAUGAAACAGGCCACAAGCUACUCUUCAGGGAUAAGAAAAUGAGAUUGCAGCUCUUUGACAUUGAAAGAAGCACCAAGACUACUAUUUUGAACUAUUGCUCCUAUGUGCAGUGGGUUCCAGGCAGUGAUGUGGUGGUGGCUCAGAACAGAAACAGCCUCUGCAUCUGGUAUAACAUCGAUGCUCCAGAGCGAGUCACCAUGUUUCCUCUGAAGGGGGAUAUUGUAGACUUGGAAAGAAAUGAUGGGAAGACUGAAGUGAUAGUAACUGAAGGUGUUAACACUGUGUCCUAUACUCUGGAUGAAGGCCUUAUAGAGUUUGGAACUGCCAUUGAUGAUGAGGAUUACCACAGGGCUACUGCAUUUUUGGAGACCCUGGAAAUGUCCACGGAGACUGAAGCCAUGUGGAAGACCCUAAGCAGACUAGCUUUGGAAGCUAGACAGCUGCACAUUGCAGAGAGGUGCUUUGCAGCUUUGGGCAACAUAGCAAAAGCUCGAUUUCUACAUGAAACCAAUGCCAUUGCAGACCAGGCAGCUCGAGAGCACGGCGGGGAUGGCACAGACCAUUACCUGGUGCGUGCCCGCUUGGCCAUGCUAGAGAAGAACUACAAGCUGGCAGAGAUGAUCUUCCUGGAACAAAACGCCACAGAGGAGGCCAUGGAUAUGUAUCAGGAGCUGCACAUGUGGGAUGAAUGCAUUGUGGUCGCCGAGGCCAAGGGACACCCAAUGCUGGAUAAGCUGCGUAAGGGCUAUUACCAGUGGCUGCUGGAUACGCAGCAGGAGGAGAAGGCUGGGGAGGUCCAGGAGGGACAGGGAGACUACCUGGCAGCCAUCAGCCUAUACCUGCGAGCAGGGCUGCCAGCCAAGGCGGCACGGCUGGCCAUGAGCAGGGAUGAGCUCCUGACCAACGGGGAUGUCAUCAAUAGGAUCUCCACAGCAUUGAUCAAAGGGGAAUUAUAUGAACAGGCUGGAGACCUGUUUGAGAAGGUUGGGAACCCACGGAAGGCUCUGGAGUGCUAUUGCAAGGGCAAUGCCUUCCUGAAAGCGGUGGAGCUGGCUCGUCUGGCAUUUCCUGCAGAAGUUGUGAAGCUGGAGGAGACCUGGGGAGACCAUCUGGUGCAGCAGAAACAGCUGGAUGCUGCCAUUAACCAUUAUAUUGAAGCCAGGUGCUCCAUUAAAGCCAUUGAGGCAGCCUUGGGAGCCCGGCAAUGGAAGAAGGCUAUCUACAUUUUGGACUUGCAGGACAAACAGAUAGCAGCCAAAUAUUAUCUCAAAAUCGCCCAGCACUAUGCAGCCUUGCAAGAGUAUCAGGUUGCAGAGGAGCUAUACAUCAAAGGAGACCAGACCAAGGAGGCCAUUGACAUGUACACACAGGCUGGGCUCUGGGAACAGGCUCACAAGCUGGCAAUCAGGUGUAUGAAUCAGGAAGAUGUGUCUGUGCUCUAUAUAACCCAGGCUCAAGAAAUGGAGAAGCAGGGCAAGUACAAAGAAGCAGAGAGGCUGUAUAUCACCAUAGAUGAACCUGAUUUGGCCAUCACCAUGUACAAGAAGUUUAAGAUGUAUGAAGAAAUGGUUUGCCUGGUAGCCAAAUACCACAAGGACUUACUGAGUGAUACUCACCUGCACCUGGGCAAGGAGCUGGAGGCAGAGGGACGUUUACAGGAGGCUGAGUACCACUACCUAGAAGCUAAGGACUGGAAAGCCACAGUAAACAUGUACAGAAUGAAUGACAUGUGGGAUGAAGCUUACAGGGUGGCCAAAGCACAUGGCGGGGCAAACUCCUAUAAGCAUGUGGCCUAUAUGUGGGCAAAGAGCCUUGGUGGAGAGGCAGCUGUGAAACUCCUCAGUAAAUUUGGACUUCUGGAGAUGGCCAUUGACCAUGCAGCAGACAGUGGUGUCUUUGAAUUUGCUUUUGAGUUGGCCCGCCUCUCCAUGAAGCAGAAGAUGCGAGAGAUCCACUUAAAGUAUGCCAUGUUCCUAGAAGAUGAGGGCAAGUUUGAAGAGGCUGAAGCAGAGUUCAUUAAAGCUGGGAAACCCAAGGAGGCAGUGCUAAUGUUUGUGCACAACCAGAACUGGGAUGCUGCACAGCGUGUAGCCGAGGCUCAUGACCCAGACAGCGUGGCUGAUGUGCUUGUGGGACAGGCACGUUUUUCCUUUGAGCAGAGAGAGUUCCAGAAAGCAGAGGCCUUCCUCCUGCGAGCACAGAGACCUGAACUGGCAAUAAAGUACUACAAGGAGGCUGGCAUGUGGAGUGAGGCCCUGCGGAUCUGUAAGGAAUACGUGCCUAGUCGGCUGGAAGUACUGCAGGAGGAGUGCAGCAGGGAGGCUGCCAAGAAGGGCUCCAGAGGAACAGAAGGGCUGCUGGAACAGGCACGGGAGUGGGAGCAGGCUGGGGAAUAUGCCAGGGCGGUGGACUGCUAUCUGAAGGUGCAGGAUCCCAGCAACAGUGUCCUGAUGGAGAAGUGCUUGCUGAAGGCAGCUGAGCUGGCCGUGAAGUUCUUGGGCCAGUCACAGAGUAUGGAGGUAACACGAACUGUGGCUCCUCAACUAGUCGCCAUGAAGAAAUACAGUGCGGCAGCAGAGCUCUACCUCAGUUUGGACCUCAUACGAGAAGCUAUUGAUGCCUUCAUUGAAGGGGAGGAAUGGAACAAGGCUAAGCGUGUGGCCAAGGAAUUGGACCCCAGGUCAGAGGAGUAUGUGGACCAGCGUUACAAGGAGUAUCUAAAGAACGAAGGAAAGGUAGAUUCGCUGGUGGGAAUAGAUGUCAUGGCUGCUCUGGACAUGUAUGCAGAGCGGGAACAAUGGGAGAAGUGCCUAGAGGUUGCAGCUAAGCAGAACUAUAAAGUUUUGCACAAGUAUGUAGCUCUGUAUGCAACCCACCUCAUCCGGGAGGGCAGCUGGGACAAAGCCCUGAGCCUGUAUGUCCGCCAUGGAACACCUGCCAACCCACAGAAUUUCAACAUUUACAAGCGUCUUUUUGUGGAGAUGGUGAAUGCAUCUGGCAUGAACUGUGCUGAGGCCUACUCCAGCUGGGCUGACCUGCGUGAUGUUCUCUUCAACUUGAGUGAAAACUUGGUAAAGUCAAGUGAAGCAAAUACUCCAGCACAUGAGGAAUUUGAGACCAUGUUGUUGAUAUCACACUACUAUGCCACCCGCUCUGCUGCUCAGGGUGUGAAGCAGCUGGACACUGUGGCUGCCAAGCUGUCCAUUUCCUUGCUGCGACACACUGAGUUCAUUCCUGCAGACAAAGCCUUCUAUGAAGCUGGAACAGCAGCCAAGCUCUCUGUCAGCCUCAUUGGCAUGCCAUUAGCCGAAUACUGGUUUUAGAGGCCUUUCCUCCAAACACCUUGCCAGAUUCUAUAUUUCCUCAUAGCAUGGGAGUAGGUAGUGGAAAGGGAGCUCUGAGACAGAAAGGGGGUAUGUACUACAGAGGGGACAUGUACUGCAAGGGGUAGAAUAGAGGCCACAUAAUGUUGCCUAUCAUCUCUGCUAUUGUAAACAUAGGAGUCUUAAAUAGCCUGCCUUGCUCUGAGUCACCUAACUAACUAGGUAUCUCACAGACACUCCUAAGGCUACAGGCUGAUCAUGUGCCCACAUGCGAUGACAAGGCAAAUAACAGCAUGUUUUCACUAUCUGAUGCUGGUUAUGCAAUAAUGCCUGAUUCCGUCUUGUGGAACUGUCUGUGGCUAGGUGGCUUGUUGUGGCCAGUAGUUGCCCCUACAGCAGUCCUCAGGGAUGGUGAGUCAUGCUGCACACUCUCUCUCCAUGCCUCUCUGCUGCAAUCAGGAUGUUGCCACACAAACAGAACCCUGUCAUUUCUAGCCCUUUGCUCAAAGGAGUGGUGGUCAUGAAGAUAAGCCAUAAGCUACCUGUUCUCACUUGUUUUUCUCUGCACCAGGCAGUCAACUGGGAGAACAUGGCAUUCAUAUUCCUGAACCGCUUCCUGGACCUUUCAGAUGCCAUCGAAGAGGGAAACCUGGAUUCCCUGGACCACUCUGAUUUCCAAAGGACAGACAUUCCCUUUGAGGUGCCACUUCCAGCCCAGCAGCAUGUGCCUG